Myotis brandtii (Brandt's bat) is the source of this 75-nucleotide non-coding RNA. The record is from Rfam. NCBI's taxonomy places the organism in Eukaryota, Metazoa, Chordata, Mammalia, Chiroptera, Vespertilionidae.
CUUGGUGGGGAGGAGGUCCCUCAGCCUAGAUUGCAAGAGGACACAGGCCAGGCUGAGGGACUCCACCAGUGCAUG